RNAcentral lists this long non-coding RNA (7402 nucleotides) under Marmota monax (woodchuck). The record is from RNAcentral. Lineage: Eukaryota; Metazoa; Chordata; Mammalia; Rodentia; Sciuridae.
AGACCAAGGUAGGAAGGCCUCAAGUUGGAGGCCAGUCUGGCCAACAUGGAAACUCCGGUCUCAAAAUUAAGAAAUGAAAAAGUUUUUGAAGAUCCUAAUCCAAAUCCCCAAAUAAAAAGGCAACUUGGAAUCCUAGCGGUGGCUCCACAGGUUGAUUCGGGAGGAUUUCCAGUUGAAAGCCAGCCUCAGCAAGGGCAAGUUGAGGGACUAAGCAAAUCAGUGAGAGCCUGUCUCUAAAUAGAUUACAAAAUAGGGAUGCGGAUGUUGCUCAGUGCUUAAAUGCCCCUGAAUUCAAUGCCUGGUACCAAAAAAAAAAAAAAAAAAAAAAAAAACAGACUGGACAGCUUGUUCCUUCUCUGAGGGCAAAAGACAAGGGAGCCAGGUUUCCUUAGCCUUUUUCUCUGGGCAGCGUUUUUUCAGACAGGAAGGGCGGGAGAAGGGCUCCCAGGAUGAGUCCUGGUAGCCAUGUCUGCAGCUCUACUGCCAUCGUGCGGAAACAGUUUCAAGAAGACACCCAGCGCCAUUCAUGCCUCCUUCCCAGGAGGCCUUGCUGUUGGGCAGAUCGGACAGGCAGGGAGUUGGAAGAUCCUUGGGCUGCCAUCUGGGCCUCCUUGCCUUCUCCUAGGGCCCUGAGGGAGACCUGGGCAGUGGCGCUCCCUCACCAUAGAACCUGCAGAGCAGGGGGCCCAGAGCUGACUAGCAGCAGCCAGGAAUUGCUCUCACAGGAAGUCGUGGGGCGGGGCCUCGUUGCUCAACUGUGUGGACUUCACCUGAGGGACACUGUGCAAAGGGUAAUGCAGGCCCUUGUGGAUACUGUUUCCUUGUUCAGGUCCCUUGGAGCAAGAUAUAGCAGUCCCUUAUGUGAAGUCACCAUGCUGUUGUGCUCGGAUCCCUUAGCCCCCAGGUGGAGCCCAAAGGACAUGUCAGUUUUGGGUGGCAUAGGGCAGCAUCAGAAGUGUGUCCAGUUGUUUGCAGGCAGGCCUAAUUGUCUGGAGGCUAGGGUGGUCUGAAGAGAAGGGCAGAGAAGAAUUGGAAGAACUUGCAGUGCAGCCGAUCUGCUAAAGACAAGCACCAAGAACGCUUAUGUUUGCAAAGCUGUUAUUUGGUGGAGCCUAUGCAAAAAUUCACUUAAAAUGCAUCAAGGAUCUCCUCAUGAAAACCACACGGACAGCAUUUGAAAGACAAAUGUAGGCCUACAUGUUGCUGUCCAUGGAUGUGGCAAUGUUGUCUUGAAAACACUGCUGAAAGCAGAAAUGAGAGAAGAAUGACUGGAUGGUCAGGAAGUCAUCUCCUUUUGCUUCCAAGGGAGUGACCAACAAUAGGAAGAGGCAGCUCACAGAAUAAGAGAAAAAAGUUGCAAUUACCUGGGAACAUUCUCACACUCAGAAUUUUUGAGGAAACUGGGCUUCGCAACCUCUUUGUAUCGCCAGGCUGAGACAAAGCAGAAAUGCAGAGUCUGGGUGCAGAACCUGGAUAAUGAUGGACACCAGGAAUGUGCACACAGGUACCACCAGAACAGACCUGACCUUGAUGUUCUCAACACUGUGAGGAGGGAUCCCCGUGCCAUUGCACAGUGACAUCAAGAAAGUGCAUGUUCCUUCUUGUUCCAAGGGGAACAACACAAGGCUGGUACCCUCAAGAGACUGCAUUAGCCUUUUUCCCGGUUUUUUUUUUUUUUUUUUUUCUUUCUUUCUUUUCUUUUUUUUGACAGAGUAUAGAGGUGGUUUAUUUUACUGAGUUGGAAAGUUUUCGUGUUUAUUAAUCCGAAUGUUAUAAUGAAUGACCCCUUCCCAGAUAAUUAACACUUUGCAUUUUAAACGUUUAUUUCUGUAGGACAUCUUCUAUCAUUGGAAGCAGAAGGCACGAGGGAAAAGAUAGUCGUCCACCUCCCCUUGAGGGCUCACAUCCAGCAGUCGAUGGGGCGCCCCAGGAUCCCAAGCAGCUUAUAGUAGGUGACAGAAACCUGUUCUUCUGGGCUCAGUAAUUGCAAGGAAGGGCACUUCUCAGUAGCUGGUGAGUCACAGAAAGCCUCACAGCCCUGCAGGUGAGUAACAGAGGGCGCUCCCAGGUCAGCUGCUCAGUGGGGCCUGGGCCCCCAUAGCUGAAUACACUGGAAAUGCCCUAUUAUGGGGUUCGGAGAGCAACAGGCUGCCCUUCUAAGAGGGACUUUGGCCCGCAGGGACCUUAGGACCUUCCAGUGCCCGCAGGUAGCCAGUACACCUGUCCAAGGGCUGUGGCCUGUCCUGCCAGUGCCUAGCCAUUGGGCACUGUGGGGGGGGGGGGCGGGGGUUAGGGGUGUAGGUUGCUCAUCUCUUGCAGGAAGAUGCUGCUGCCUGGUAUUGCAGCAGUCAAUGGGCUGCCUAGUCAACCUCAGCCCCUGAUGAGUGCAGACCCAGUAGCCAGGCACAACUGUCAUUGCAUGACCAGCUCUCCUGGAGCUAGCUGCUGCCUGCACACAAAAUUUCCUCUUCCCAGCAGGUGGCGGCAGCAACAACACAGGAAACAGACGCCCUGGCUCAGGUUCCUGUUCUCCCAAAAGAGCUGCCCCUGGCCAUGGCUUCUGGGAAUUCAGCGCCUCCUGCGCUGGGCACCUAGGCCCAGGGAGACCUCCCUGGAUUGCCCCUUAGUGGGUCCCUCCGCUCCAGUCCAAGCAGCUCCUAUGGAGGCCCCGCCCCACGACUUCUCUGACACCAGCUCCUGCCCACUGCUAGUCCCCUCAGGUCCCUGGCUCUCCGGGUUCUUUGCUGAGAGCGCGCCAGAGCCCAGGUCUCCCUCAGGACCCUGGGAGAAGGCCAGGAGGCCCAGAGGGCAGCCCAAGCCGCUUGGAACUCGCUCCUUGAAACAAGAUCCUCCCCCACAGCGAGGCCUCCUGGGAAGGAGGCUUGAGUGGCGCAGGGCGUCUUGAAACUGGUUCCGCACGGUGGCGGUAGAGCUCCAGCUAUGGCCAGCAGCCCUGGGCCUGAGCGCGCCUCUCCCGCCCUGGCUGUCUGAAAAAACGCCACCCAGACAAAGGCACCAGGCAACAUGGCCGCCCUGUCCUUUGCCCAGUUCUAGGAAGCAGCUCCCGAUGCUGCUUUUGCUUUUUCAGUAUUUGUGGCGUUUGGUUCACGAUGUUUGCCUCUGUCGUGAUUCUGCCCGAGACAGGCUUUGCCGUGUUGCCCAGGACCAGCUGGAAAUCGUGGUGCCAGUGCAGCAGCUUCCAGCUCCUCUCUCCUGUUGUUUUCCAUCUGAACUCUGACCAAGGCCUGAGUGCCAUCCUCCCCUGGGCCUCCCCUCUCUCUGGUGGAACGUUCAGGGAGGCCCUGCUCAUUCAGUCUGUUCUGAGUUGAACUGCACCCAGUCUUCCUCCCUCUGUAGUUUGUGAGUGCUCAGACCAGGUGAGAGAAAUGACACGGUUCGGUUUGUUUUUUACUCUUUUUAGGACACAAGAAGUUGGGAAUCCAACGUGUCAAUAUGUAUGUCUUCCAGAGAGCCAAUGUGCACAUGGUGAUGUGUCUUGUCUAGGUUCUGUUGCCAUAACAAAAAUACCUGAAGCUGAGUAUUUUGUAAGAAAUGGACAUUUCCUGUCCUCAUGGUUGUGGAGAUGGGAAAUCUAAGAAUAGGACCUCAGUGUCUGCUGAGCCGUUGGUGGGGGUCUUCUUGCUUAAUCAUAAUGUGGAAGAGGCCAGCACAGAGAGACAGAGGAAGCUUCUUGGAGACACCUGGCUUUUAUAGCAGAGUCACUCCCCACAAAACCUAUGAAUCCAUGAGUGGACUGAUCAGUGCCUGUGCAUGAGGGCAGAGUUCUCAUGAGCCAGUGACCUCCCAGAAAUACUUCAGUUCCCGUUCACACAUAAUUUUGGGAUUAACUUUCCGACAAUGGGUUUCCAGGGCACAACCAUUGAAACCAUACUAUGAAGUGACUUUUAAAGUUGAAUGAAAAUCGCUAGCAUCAUCUACUUUUCUAAAGUGGCCUUAAAAAACGAGUCUGUCACAAGGAGAGAGAGAGGAAGCUUCUUCGAGACACCUGACUGGUGUCCUCCAGCCUGGAUGUUGGUUUAUUUUCAAGUUUCCCCUUUAGAUUUCAGGCAGAGAAUGUUGAGGUAGGGGACUUGGUGUUGUGGUAUUCAUGUAUUUUAUGUCCUCUAGGCUGUGGUGAAUGCAGACAUGGGAAGAAGUGGUCACGUGGAAAGUGAGUUCAAAAAGAGAGAGAGAACAUGAAAAUGGGGUGAGUUGGUUUUUUUUUUUUUUUAAUGUGGUCCUUGGAUAUAACCCAGGACUCUGUUCAUUAGAUCUCACGUUGAUAUGCAAUGGAACCCAAAAGAAAUUUUUUACCAGGGGAGCAAGUUUUCUGAGAUUGAGCAAAAUGCAAGGCAGCCGUAGUUUCUGGAGUGUUUCUCCUCUGGCCAUUUUAUUUAUUUAUUUCUUCCAAUUGGAGGGGCACAAGUGGAGCACCUAGAGGGAAGUCUGGUUAGGGAAACAUUUUCAUUGGGUCCCAUCCCAUGUGCAUUUAAUGCAUGACAGCCCUAGCAGUAAGGCAGGGAGGGCCAGUACCAGGUCCGAUGGUCCAAGAUACAAGCUGGGCUUAGCAACCUCCUUGUGGAGGGCCACGCAGGACCAAAGCACAAAGGUAUAGUCUUGUAGGAAGUGAUCCGUGAGGGACACUAGGAUUGAUUACACAGGUGCCACCUGAGCUGGCCUAUCGGGCUUUUCUCACUGAGCUGAGAGGACAGUGACAUCACAAACGGGCAUUGUGUGUCUUGCUCCAAGGUGAGGGACAAGAGGCUAGUGCCCCCAGAAACCUGCAGUAGCCUGUGAGAGGGUUUGUCUGUUCCAGUCCACACAGCUUCCUACCAAGGCCCUGCCUUGUGACUUCCUAUGACACCAUCUCCUGGCUGCUGCUGCUUCCCUGGGGGCCCCUGGUCCUGUGGGUUCUUUGGGAAGAGACAGCCAUUGAUCAGGUUUCUCUUAGGGCCCUGGGAGAAUGUUUGGAAAUCCAGAUUGCACCCAAGCCUCUUGUAACUCCCUACACAAUUCAGUUUCUCCGAGCUAACACCAAGAGCAGAUAAAUAAUAAUGUCAAUUGUUUUUGACUCUAUUUCUAACAUAUGUGAUAACUUUGAAAAAACACAUCAGUAUGUAUGUGUCUUACAAAGUUGAUAGGCAUAUCUGUCAUGCAUCUUAGGCAUAUGUGUAUGUAUGUAAAUAUAUAUAUAUAUAUAUAUAUAUACUUUUUUUUUUUUCUUUUUUCGAUAAGACUAUUGGGUGGUGACUGUUUUAAAAAGAAUCAAAUUUCACUAAGUGCCCUGGCACUUUCCUGUGUUCCUGACAGCCUGGGUGGCUGAGGCAGGAUUGGCGAACUUGUUACAACUUAGCAAUACCCUUAGAUAACUUAGAGAGAUCCUGUACCGAAAUAAAAAAUAAUAAUCAUUUUAAGAAAAGGAUUAGACGUUUCUCUCCAUGGUUAAGCACCCCUGUGAUCAAUGCCCGAUACCAAAGCCGGAAAAAAAAAAAAAAGAAAAGAAAAGAAAAAGUUUAUUUGGCUCAAGUUUCUGAAGACAGGAGUGUCCACGAACAUGGUCUGGGGAUCUCCUUGACCAUUGGUGAGGGUCUUUGGGCUAAAUCCUAACAUAGAAGAGGCCAUCAUGAGGCCAGACAGAGCUGUCCCGCUGGAGAGAAUUGACUUUGGUAGCAAAGUCACUCUCCUAAGGAAACUUAUGAAUCCUUGAAUGGACUGAUCUGUGUAUGAAGGGUGAGUCCGGUAGAGCCAGUCACCUCCCAAAGUGCCUCCAAAUAUGAUCAACCUGUAAUUCAGGGAUUCAAGUUUCAACACAGGAAUUCCAGGGGACACACACCGCACUAUUAGAGAUAGGUCAUGCUGUCAUUUCAGUGUUUGUUCGAUGCUGUGAUUUCCAUCAAAACCACUAAGACGCCGGGUGUGGUGGUCCUCUCCUGUAAUUCCAGCAGCUAUGGAUUUCACUUUUCUUCUUUAGGCUUCAAAGGUGGUAAAAAGGGUGUAGUACAGAUAACAGUAAUGAGAGUUUAUGCGCACCAACUCCUUAAAGCUGUGGUAAACAGCCACCAGCUCCAAACAAUAAUAUAAGCAUUAAUUCAAUUUUAUUGCAGAUUUUUCUUUCGAGUGAGACUAAUUCUACACAAAUGUAAGUGUAGAUCGAUCAUCAGGCAUAGAAAGAAUCCAAAAAAGUACUGGGUCCCCUGGAAGAUUGCCUGAAGGUGCUUUUCUUUCUCUUGGCACAUGCUUAUGUUUUGACUCCUUGUCAAAUAUCAUUCUUUUUUUAAAUUUUAAUUUUUUUAGUUGUUGAUAGAACUUUAUUUGUAUUUAUGUAUAAGUGGUACAGAGAGUCUAAACGAGUGCCUCACAUGUGCUAGACAAGCGCUUUACCGCGGAGCCACCACCCCCGGGUCCCCUCAAAUAUCAUUCUUCAGUUCACUAAAGAGAAGGGCUUUGUGGCCCACACUUAUACUCCCAGCAACAUGAGAGGCUAAGACAGGAGUAUGGCAAGCUAGAGGCCAGAGUGAGGCCCUAAGCAAGAUAGCAAGUCCCUGUGUAAGAAUAAAAAGUAAUCUUUGAGGUGGAGCAGUGGUACUGGGUAUGUUGCUUAGUGGUUCAGCAUCCCUGUGUUCAAUCAUCCCUAAAAAAAAUAAAUAAAUAAAAACCAAGAAAUAUAAAGAACCAAGGGUAAAUUACUGUUGAAGGGGGACAAAAAAAAAAAAAAAACAGCAAAUGAUGAUUCUGUAAGCCAGUUGAUAAAUUAUUUAUGGCCAAAAAAUAUACAUAAAAUGCACAGAUACAACACCAUAGAGUCACUGUAAAUGGUAGAAGUGUAUUUCAUGCCAUGGGAAAAUGUUAUGUUUUAUGGGAAGAAAAUGAUGGAAAUGGAUGCAAAAGUCUAAGUAUCACACCAUCCUCGGAUUGCUCAUGAGAAGUUAUUGCCACCAAUCUAGUUCACAAGACACCAAACCAAAGGAAUGCUGGAGUCCCCGCUGGCCUUGGAGCAUGGCCAGGUCACUGACCACCUGGGUUGGUGACUGGUUGGCCACAGAAGAUCUCCUCUAGCUUCAGCAGCUUCCUCAGUUGUCUGCUUUCAUCCCAGGGAUUUUUCCUCUGAUGGCUGUUUGCUGUUUGUGAUCUGCAGAGUCGGUAACACUGAGCUGCACUCCAAUGGGCCAGAUCCUGUGGAAAUGAAGUUCCACCCGCACAGGUGUCCUCAGGAAGGAGGAGUAGAUUCAGGCUUCUGAUGAAACCUGAAAGCAGUCCUGUGCUGGAGACCAAGGUAGGAAGGCCUCAAGUUGGAGGCCAGUCUGGCCAACAUGGAAACUCCGGUCUCAAAAUUAAGAAAUGAAAAAGUUUUUGAAGAUCCUAAUCCAAAUCCCCAAAUAAAAAGGCAACUUGGAAUCCUAGC